Molecule: ribosomal RNA, 252 nt
Filed under: uncultured bacterium
Lineage: Bacteria
Description: partial 16S ribosomal RNA
Rfam family: Bacterial small subunit ribosomal RNA
Source: RNAcentral
UACGGAGGAUGCGAGCGUUAUCCGGAUUUAUUGGGUUUAAAGGGUGCGUAGGCGGACUGUCAAGUCAGCGGUAAAAUUGAGAGGCUCAACCUCUUCCCGCCGUUGAAACUGGUGGUCUUGAGUGGAUGAGAAGUACGCGGAAUGCGUGGUGUAGCGGUGAAAUGCAUAGAUAUCACGCAGAACCCCGAUUGCGAAGGCAGCAUACCGGCGCCCUACUGACGCUGAGGCACGAAAGUGCGGGGAUCAAACAGG